AUGCCGAUGGCAUUAAAUCCCGUCAGCGAGACGGCUUAAAGGUGUCGCAAUCUGGCUUCAGCAGCAGUCGCUUUGAGAAGUUCCUGCUGCGACAGGUCGAACAACAAUUCCCAUCCGCAAUGUUGUGGCAGUCCCGGGCCAGCAUUCGAUUCUUCCUUGCCACCAAGGACGCUGCGGCUUAAACGCACUUGAACCCUUGUAAAAUUAUACACUGGAAAAUAUUAGUUUUAUUUAAAAGAAAAUGUAUUGAAUUAUAUAUUUUUUUUUUUUGAGUAAAAUCGGAGUAUUCCACAACAGUCCAAAAAUAAAAUUUAAUACAGUGCUCUUUUCCUAAAAACAGUUUUGAAAUUUUUCCAGCACUGGCAUCCUGGAUUUGUCCCUCAAAGUUGGCCAUUGAACUUGCGGCAAAACUUGUUUUCCCCUCGUUUUCUUAUCGUUUCUGCGGCAGCUGCUGGCGUGGCUUUUGUGGUUAAGAGUCGAGGCGAGUUGGCCGGAUUGUAAUGGUGAAUAGAGCACAGCAGGGUGUACCUUAAUGUGUGUGGCAUGCUCGACUUGGCAAGAGGCAAGGGCGAUCAGUUGUGGCAGAGCAACCCACCGAGAAGUCCGCUCCAAAUGCAACAGACCAGAAACCCGACCGAAUAAAGAGAACUUCUAGGCUUUUGGAGACUGCUCGUUAUUUAAUUUCCAGUCAAUCUCUUUAAUUAGCUGUUAACUUCCGCAACAUUUGCGCCAAAGAACGCUUGUCUUGUCUUGCCAAAAAAAAAUAAAACACAAAAUUCCAAGAUACAAGCAACCUCCCAACCAAGUAUUUAUUCGUUGUGGGUGCGUUCAAUGGCUGAAAGUGAUUUAUGAACGCCUGCUGUGCCAUAGAUAUUUAUGGCAAUUGUUUCGCUUUGAUUUGCGAAGCCAUUUAAGGCUUUAAUUAAAGUGCUUAGUACUGGGAACUAGUCUACUAGACUCCGCGACGGAAACGACGCUCUGCCCAAAAACUAAGUCAAAAGCUUCCAUUAGCCAAGUUAGCAGACAAGUGCUGACAGGAAGUUCUCAUCUCUCGGUUCUAGCCAUGAAUUAUGACCAAUUUUGACCAAGAAGCGACCAAGCGUUUUAGAAAGGCAAAAUCCUGUGCCACUAAGGUCACAUUCUGGUCCGUUCGAACGCACCAGAACCCGUUCUCCAGUCACUUCCUCCAUUGUAACAGGAUCAGCUUGGGAUUCCGCUUCAUGUGCUGGCCAUUAAGCGGGUAUUCUGAUUCUCAGACGUCGGAUGCCGCGGCGACCUUGAGACGAGAGUGCAAAAAAUGUGUUCAGAUGUUCGCUGCUGCCCCGAUCUCUCGGUGUGUAGGUUGCAAUU
Molecule: non-coding RNA, 1350 nt
Organism: Drosophila melanogaster (fruit fly)
Lineage: Eukaryota; Metazoa; Arthropoda; Insecta; Diptera; Drosophilidae
Source: Ensembl